AUUAAUACAAAAAUUAUAGGUGCCCGUUUAGGGAGAAUAGGGAAUGGAGUGAAAAUCUCCAGCGGACCCGCCACUGUGAAGGUGAGCCUUAAACAUGAUGCCACUGGAUAUUAAUCUGGGAAGGCGUUUAAAGGUGUUGAACCUGAGCCAGGAGACCUGCCUAUAAUUUACAUAAAAC
This 178-nucleotide non-coding RNA is filed under the name Caloranaerobacter azorensis. Lineage: Bacteria; Bacillati; Bacillota; Tissierellia; Tissierellales; Thermohalobacteraceae. The record is from RNAcentral.